ACUGUGCCCACCCCUCCCAUUUUAAGACAGCAAUGAAAUCCAUCAAAAUGUUGAGAUUGCUGAGAAUUAUUUGUUGGGGAUUCAAAAUAUGGUUUCAAGGUAGGUCAGAUAGGCUCCACCAGUUGUCAGAAAAAAGAUCAGAAGUGGUUCCACAAGUCUCCUAUGGUUCAGCUGGAUCCAUAAACUGGGCAGAGCUGGGGGUGGGGUCUUCUUGGAAGCUCUAUGCCAUUAAGACCUAGAGGCAGCCUCACAUUGGCAUCAGGGAGGAGAUUAAAAGAAGAUGAAAUACCAACUUUGUCCUCUUCACAGAGCUAAAUGGCCUUUAAGUACACCUGUCAUUUAAUCCUCACAACCACCCUGGGAGCAAACAGGUGAAGUGACUGUCUCAAGGACACUCAUUGAACUUCACAUCACCCUGACUUCCAGAUGCAUUUCUCCAGAGAAUGUACAGGCUUUACUUCCACCUAAGAGAAUAUAGGAGCUUCUUAGGCAUCAAACAAAAAUCCAGUUUGUCUCAGGGGGGUUGUGUUCAUCUCCCCAGAGUCUAGAGGAGAGGAUUAAUCUCAUUAAGAUUAUGGUAUGAAUGGUAUCCUAGCUAUCCUCCCAUUGAGGACCGAAGGAGGAGCGUUUCCAUCUCCUAUUGAGGGCAACAAGUGUCUCUCACCUUGAUCUCUAGAGAUAAUUUACUUCCAGAAAAACAGAUGCCUCCCCACAGUUACAAAUUCCCCCAUAACUCCCCCUACACGUUUUCUGGUAUCCCCACUCGCACAAAAAAAGUUAUCAUAAAGCCUCUUACCAACUGCUGACCAGAAAACAAGGUCGCACCUUAUUUCUCAAAAUGUAGCUUACAAUGGGGUCUCUUUCACUCUCACUCUGUCCUCUUUUGCUCCUCUCCCUGCUCCUCUCUACUCUCUCUCUCUCCUCUGCUCUUUUAUGUCCUCCUCCCUCCCUCUCUCCUCCUCCUCCUUCCUCCUCUCUCCUCCUCUGCUUUCCUCUCUCCUCCUCCUCCUGCCUCCUCCAAUAUCCUAUCUCCCUCUCCUCCUCCUCUCCUCCUCCCACCUCUCCUCUUCCCUCCUCCUUUUCCUCCCCUCCUCCUUCCUCCUCCCUCCUCCGAUGUCCUAUCUCCCUCUCCUCCUCUUCCUCCUCCUCCUCCCUCCUCCGAUGUCCUAUCUCCCUCUCCUCCUCUUCCUCCUCCUCCUCCCUCCUCCGAUGUUCUAUCUCCCUCUCCUCCUCUUCCUCCUCUCCUCCUCCUCCUCCUCUCCUCUGGUUUCUCUCCUCUCCUCUCUACUCUCUCUUUGUCUGCUUUGUCUGUCUCUCUCCCUCUCUCUCUCGAUCACCCACUCUCACUCUCACUCACUCUCCCAGUCAUUCAACAGGACUGGUGAGACUCCUGCCCUUUUAUCUUGGUAAGGGUGUCUGAGGUACAAGUGACAUCACAAAGCACCAUUUUUCCUUCAUACCACUGACUUUUCUCCAGUCAGCUCUGGCAUUUGUUCAGAAAGAGAAAGCUUGUUCUUAUCCUAAACACAUGCCACACUCUCCCUUCACGGCCUUUCAAACUCUCUAUUUCCCACUCAUUCUCACUAAAUAUUUUUCUCAAUUUUCUACCUACAUUGUGUCUUUACCAAAGAUUCCAAAUAUCUCUCAAAGCAAAACUUUUAAAAUUUUGGUCUCUGUCUGAUUGUCCAUUCAUAAGGAAUAAUAUGUUGGUGUCCAGGGUAGAGAGAUAAGGGGAAAUUGAUAGGCUUCUGUCUAAAAUUGUUGGAUUCAGCUUUUUUCCUCUCAGAUACAUAUCCAAUCAAGGAAACAUAUGCGGCUUUCUUUCUUGAUAGGGCAACAACAUUGUCAUCUUCCUCAUUUUCCUCUUUUCUGUCUUCCCUAACCCUUUUUUCUUCGUAUUCCAUCACACCCUUGACUCUGAUUAUAAGGCACAGUACUGGAGUUGGACAGAGCUCAGCAGUCAGGAAGCCCUCAGAUCAAGGCCAUGCUCAUAUUUGACUAGCUGUGUGAGCUUUAGGAUAUUCUUAUCAUCUCAACCUGCCUCGGCUUCUUCCAAUCCCAAGUGUCCCAGAGUUGUGAGAAUUCAAUGAGGAGUCCUUGGAAAACUUAGUAUCAUGACUGAUACAUUGAAAGUGAUUAUUAAGCUUUUCCUCCCUUAACGUCAAGCUGCACCCUGUCAAGUGGGGUGCAAGCCAACCCAGCAGUUUGUAUCUCCUGAAAAUCUCCCAAUAGAAGGAGAGAGCUCACUACCUAAUCUCAUAGAGAAUUUGGAAGGAGCAAAACCAUCUCUUUGGUGGGGAGCAGCUCGUGCACUUGUCCUUUUCAUCUUUACGAGCCUCUUUGACUGAAGGGACAAUAUUCCUAUUCCUUGUGGCAAUAGUCAGACUCCUUUUGACCUUCCACCCUGUCAGCCUAUCAUCUGUAAUUUAUUUCCCUGGUCCUUUCUUCCCCCGAGCUGUCUAGCAAUCAAUUGGAGAUCACCCAUGCAAGAAGGCAUUCAAAGGAAGGGGUAACAGGUCAAGGUGGCAUUUCAGCAGGGACUUGAAGGAAGACAGGGAAUUCAGGAGGCAGACAUGAGGAAGGACAGACUUAGAGGGAUGAGGUCCAACCAGGGCAAAUGCACAAGACACAGGAGAGGGACGGUUUCAUCUGAAAAGCAGCAAUGAGAGCCUAGUGUCCCUGAAUCGCUGAGGAUGGUGAGAGGGUCUAGAAUGUGGAAGGAGCCUGGAAAGAGAAGAGGAUGGGGACGGGCUUCUUUGGGUGGUCUUUGGGGGUUUUUGUGCCAGGCGAUCUGAUAGACCCUAGUUCUAUUUCUGCCACUUCCUAGAUCUAUGCCCUUUGGAGGUACUGCAAAGCAGGGAGUUCCCUUUGCCUGGAUUCCAUAGUAAAUGGAAGGGAAUAAAGGUUAAGGAGGCUGGAAAGGGGAGGGGGUCAUUGGUGAAGGCCUUGGAAUGCUACACAAAAUUCUCUCUUUGAUCAUAAAGGGGAUAGUCAAGUCUUUGAAGCUUAUUGAGUUGGGGGUUGAGGGAAGUGACAUGGAUCUGUGUUUUGGGAAGAUUAAUUGCACAGCUGAGUGGAAGAAGGACUUCUGGGAGGAGAACUGUGGCUAUUGUUAAGCAAGGGGUGAUGAGUAUUUGCCCCACAGUAGUAACAAUCCCAGAUGCCACAAGGGUGUCUACAAUAGAAAUGUUACAGUGCUAAAAACUGAAGGAAUCGGGGAUGUGGGGGUGGAGAGAGAGUGAGAAUUCCACACUGACCAGUUGGCUUUGAGUGUGCUUAACUAACAGGAUCAAGGGCAUCCUCAACAGUACUAGCAAAGUUUAAAAGGUGGGAAUUUUUGUGAAGUAAGCUUAUAAGUUGAGUUUGGGGCAUGUUAAAGGAAUGAGAGUAGAUAAUUAAAAAACACAAAAUUAUCACUGUAUUCAGAUGAUAGGAUGGUAGAUGAUAUCCUUGAGAAUCCAAGAGAAGAAUCUAAAAAUACUAGGAACAAUGAACAGCUUUAGCAAAGUUGCAAGAUAUAAAAUAAAUCCACAUAAAUUAUCAGCAUUUCUAUAUGUCACCAACAAAGUCUAGCAGCAAAAGAUUCAAAAAGAAAUUCCACUGAAGAUAACUGUAGAUCAUAUAAAAUAUUUGGGAGUCUACCUCCCAAAACAAAGCCAGGAACUAUAUGAACACAAUGACAAAGCACUUUAACAAACACAGGAAGUCAGAUCUAAACAACUGGAAGACUAUCAAGUGCUCAUGGGUGGGCUGAGCCAAAUAAUUCUUUCUAAAUUCAGCUAUUCAUUCUGUUAUUAUACUCUACCAUUCAAAGUCCCAACAAACUACAGAGCUAGAAAAAUACUAAAGAAACUUCAUCUGGAAGAACAAAAGUCAAGAAUAUCAAGGGAAUUGAUGGGAAAAAAAUGAAAAUGCAGCUGCCCUACCUAGCUUUCCAGACCUAACAUGAUAUUAUAAAGCAGCAGCCAUCCACCAUUUGGUACUGGCUAAGAAGUAGUUGAUGAGUGGAUUAGGUUAGGUUCACAUGAGAAAAAAUACUCUGAAGAAAACAACUCCUUAAAUAGGAGAAUAAACCAAAUGAAAAAAGAGAUACCCAGUAUAAACUCAUACAGUGCAAAUGGAAGCUAGUGACUUUGUGAGACACCAAGAAUCAAUUAAACUAACUAAAACGAAUAAAAACAAGGGAGAAAAUAGGAAAUACCUCUUUGGCAAAAUAGCUGACCUGGGAAAUAGAUCCAGAAGAAACAUUUUAAAAAUUAUCGGUCUACCUGAAGAUUAUUAAAAAAAAAAAAAAAAAAAGAGCCUGGAUAGCACUCGUGAAGGAAAACUGGCCUGGAGUUCCUGAAAUGCAGGGGGAAAUACUCCCUGAAAGAAUUCAUCAAUCACUUCUGGAAAACGAUCCCAGGAGGAAAACCCCAAGGAGCAUUGUUGCAAAACUCCAAAACUCCAAUCUAGAGGCAAAAAUACUGCAUGCUGCCAGACAAAAGCCAUUGAGAUGUCAAGGAGAAACAGGAUUACCCGGGACCUGGUAGCUUCUACAAUAAAGGAUCAGAGGACCUGCAAUACCAUAUUUUGGAAGGUAAAGGACCUGGGGUGAUAACCAAGAAUUAACUACCCAGAGAGACUCAGCAUCACCUUUUGGGGUAGGGGGGAGGUGGAUCUUCAGUGAAGUCAGAGACUUUUAAUCAGUUCUACUGAAAACACAAAAAAACAGAAUUAAAAUAGGAAAUUUAAUCUGCAAACACAGGACUCAAGGGAAUUAUAAGAAGGUUAACAGGGGAAAAAUAUAUAUUGAAAGGUUAAACUGUUCACAUCCCUAGACAGAAAAGCUAUAUCUGUAACUCUUGCAAGCUUUAUCUGCCACUGGGGCACACAGAGGGGAGCAUCACAGGGACUGAGAAUGUGAUUGUGAAUGGACUCUGAUGGGAUGACAUCAAAGAAAAAGACAUUAAGGGCUGGGAAAAGGUUGCUUCUAGAGAAUUUUCUUCUUUGGAGAACGGCGGUUUCUUCCAAAUUUCACUAUAUUUCUCAUACUUGUUGUUCUUAUUGAGAUUAGAACAUCCCAUUCCAUUCAUGUACCAUCAAUAAUUUAAUCAGUCUCCUAUUAGUAGACAUUUCGUUUGCUUCGAUUUCUUUUCUCAAUGUCUGGUUGCUGGGAGCUACAAUGGAUUAGAACUCUGGGCUCUGGGAGUCAGGAAAAAUGACUGUGCCUAAUUCAAAUCUGGCCUCACACAUGUACUAGCUGUGUGACCCUGGGCAAGUCAUUUACCCCUGUUUGCCUCAGUUAUCUCACCUAUGAAAUCAAUUGGCUAAGGAAAUGGUAAACAACUUCAGUAUGAUAAGAAAGCUUCAAGUGAGGUCACAAAGAGUCAGGGAAACCUUUCAGUGACUCAGUGUGUGUGUGUCUCUGUGUGUGGAUGUGUGUGUGUGUGUGUGUGUGUGUGUGUGUUUUAACAUUUUCACACACUCCAGGAAUCGCAUUCUGCCCUUCUAGAAAAAGGACCCCCAAAUUCUCAAGCUAACACUGCAAUUCCACUAAAAAAAUACCUGAAUGUGAGCUGCAUGGAGUUGGCUUUCCUGAACACCUCAAGCCUGUGCAAAGGCGCCAAGUCCCCCGUCUUCCCAGAGCAUGAGUUUAAAAUGGAAAAUUGGAAAAUGACAGCACCCCAAAUCUCAAGAGAACAGUUCAAUUUUAUUAAAAACUGAAUAUGAGAGUUACACAGAGUUUGGCUCCACUGAACACCAGAAGUCUGUGCUAACCGGCCAAGUCUACCAUCUUCCCCACCCAAGGAGUUGUUCCCUUAUGGGAAAAGGACCCCCCAGUUCUCAAGAGAACAGUCCAAUUUAACUAAAAACUGAAUGUGACGGCUGCACAGAGUUGGCUCCACUGGCUCUAUCUUCUGGUGUACAGUCCUUUUGGACUGUGUCUUCAAAAUUAAAAAUUGAAUAUAAUUUUACUUUUUUUAGUGUUUAGUAAAUUUUUUUAUAAUUAAUAAACAGUGCUCUAUGAAUCAUGUGGGGAAAGAAAUAGCAGAGCAAAAAGAAAUGAACAUGGGAGGGAGAAAAAGAAAUUAAAAGGAGUGAACAUAACACAUAUUGCUUUACAUUCUUUCUCCUUUGUUCUAUUUCUGAAUGUAGAUGGCAUUGGCUGUUCCAAGCCUAUUGAAAUUGCUUUAAGUCACUAAAGGACUGAGAGCAAUUCUUUCCUAGCUUUCAUUUUGCAUAAAUGAUUCUUACUUCUACUUGUUCCACUCAGCCUCAGUUUGUUUCAAUCUUUGCAGGCCUUGCUAAAAUCAGCUUGUUCAUCCUUUUGUAUAUAAUCCUAAUAUUCCCUUGCCUUCAUAUACCAUCCCAGCUUGUUCAGCCAUUCCCCACCUCAUGCGUAUCUCUUCAUUUUCCAAUUCUUCGCUCCCACACAAACAAGCUGUUAAGAAACUAUUUUGCACAUGAGGGUCCCAUUUCCUCUUUUAUGAUUUUCUUGGAAUACAGACUCAGUAAUGGCAUCUAUGGGUCAAAGGGCAUGACCAGUUUUUUAGCCCUUUGGCCUACUUCCAAAUGGCUUUCCAAAAUGGUUGAAUCAAAUUCUAAAAUAUGAGCGAGACAAACUACAAAUCACAAAAACAUUCCAGAGUUUCGUCCAAAAGAAGGACAAUAAUGAAACAAUAUACUAAAACCUAUGAAAUAUGCAGCGAAAACAGUGACUUCUUUUGCCAAAUUUUUUCUUUCUAAUAACCUAGGUGAAUCAAAUAAAAAUGUGAGAUCAAAGACUUGCAACUAAACAACCUAGGAAAAGAACAAAAACACAACAAAUUAAUGUUGGAUUAAUUGUUGGA
RNAcentral lists this long non-coding RNA (6833 nucleotides) under Sarcophilus harrisii (Tasmanian devil). Its description in RNAcentral is "lncRNA (ENSSHAG00000027510.1)". The record is from RNAcentral. Lineage: Eukaryota; Metazoa; Chordata; Mammalia; Dasyuromorphia; Dasyuridae.